RNAcentral lists this transfer RNA (75 nucleotides) under Candidatus Methanomethylicaceae archaeon. RNAcentral's name for it is "tRNA-Met". It matches the Rfam family "tRNA". Rfam says of the family: Transfer RNA (tRNA) molecules are approximately 80 nucleotides in length. Their secondary structure includes four short double-helical elements and three loops (D, anti-codon, and T loops). The record is from RNAcentral. Lineage: Archaea; Thermoproteati; Thermoproteota; Methanosuratincolia; Candidatus Methanomethylicales; Candidatus Methanomethylicaceae. RNAcentral also lists the same sequence under 1 other name.
GCCGGGGUGGCUCAGCCUGGCUAGAGCGCCGGACUCAUAAUCCGGAAAUCGCGGGUUCGAAUCCCGCCCCCGGCA